GAUGAACGCUGGCGGCGUGCUUAACACAUGCAAGUCGAACGGAAAGGCCAGUGCUUGCACUGGUGCUCGAGUGGCGAACGGGUGAGUAACACGUGGGUGAUCUGCCCUGCACUUUGGGAUAAGCCUGGGAAACUGGGUCUAAUACCGGAUAGGACCAUGCUUUGGAUGGUGUGGUGGAAAGUUUUUUCGGUGUGGGAUGAGCUUGCGGCCUAUCAGCUUGUUGGUGGGGUAAUGGCCUACCAAGGCGUCGACGGGUAGCCGGCCUGAGAGGGUGUACGGCCACAUUGGGACUGAGAUACGGCCCAGACUCCUACGGGAGGCAGCAGUGGGGAAUAUUGCACAAUGGGCGCAAGCCUGAUGCAGCGACGCCGCGUGGGGGAUGACGGCCUUCGGGUUGUAAACUCCUUUCGCAACUGACGAAGCUUUUUGUGACGGUAGGUUGAGAAGAAGCACCGGCUAACUACGUG
This 467-nucleotide ribosomal RNA is filed under the name uncultured bacterium. RNAcentral's name for it is "partial 16S ribosomal RNA". It matches the Rfam family "Bacterial small subunit ribosomal RNA", at positions 28 to 507 of the family's 1533-position model. The record is from RNAcentral.